CUAAGAAUCUUCCGCAAUGGGCGCAAGCCUGACGGAGCGACGCCGCGUGGACGACGAAGGCCGAGAGGUUGUAAAGUCCUUUUCUUGGAGAAGAAUAAAGGUGGGAGUGGAAUGCCCAUCAGAUGACGUUAUCCAAGGAAUAAGCCCCGGCCAAUUACGUGCCAGCAGCCGCGGUAACACGUAUGGGGCGAGCGUUGUUCGGAAUUAUUGGGCGUAAAGGGCGCGCAGGCGGUUUUGUAAGCCUGGUGUUAAAGGCUCUGGCUUAACCAGAGGUGAGCGCUGGGAACUGCGAGACUCGAGUUCGGGAGGGGGAGCUGGAAUUCCAGGUGUAGGGGUGAAAUCUGUAGAUAUCUGGAAGAACACCGGUGGCGAAGGCGAGCUCCUGGCCAUGGACUGACGCUGAGGCGCGAAAGCGUGGGGAGCGAACA
This 428-nucleotide ribosomal RNA is filed under the name uncultured bacterium. RNAcentral's name for it is "bacterial SSU rRNA". It matches the Rfam family "Bacterial small subunit ribosomal RNA", at positions 355 to 774 of the family's 1533-position model. The record is from RNAcentral.